RNAcentral lists this ribosomal RNA (253 nucleotides) under uncultured bacterium. RNAcentral's name for it is "partial 16S ribosomal RNA". It matches the Rfam family "Bacterial small subunit ribosomal RNA", at positions 524 to 776 of the family's 1533-position model. The record is from RNAcentral.
UACGUAGGGGGCAAGCGUUAUCCGGAAUUAUUGGGCGUAAAGCGCGCGCAGGCGGUUUUUUAAGUCAGAUGUGAAAGCCCCGGGCUCAACCGGGGAGGGGCAUUGGAAACUGGAAAACUUGAGUCCAGAAGAGGAACGUGGAAUUCCAUGUGUAGCGGUGAAAUGCGCAGAGAUAUGGAGGAACACCAGUGGCGAAGGCGACUCUCUGGUCUGUAACUGACGCUGAGGUGCGAAAGCGUGGGGAGCAAACAGG